Molecule: ribosomal RNA, 402 nt
Filed under: uncultured bacterium
Lineage: Bacteria
Description: bacterial SSU rRNA
Rfam family: Bacterial small subunit ribosomal RNA
Source: RNAcentral
UGGGGAAUAUUGGACCAUGGGCGCAAGCCUGAUCCAGCAAUGCCGCGUGAGUGAUGAAGGCCUUAGGGUUGUAAAGCUCUUUCGCACGCGACGAUGAUGACGGUAGCGUGAGAAGAAGCCCCGGCUAACUUCGUGCCAGCAGCCGCGGUAAUACGAAGGGGGCUAGCGUUGUUCGGAAUUACUGGGCGUAAAGGGCGCGUAGGCGGCCUGUUUAGUCAGAAGUGAAAGCCCCGGUCUCAACCUGGGAAUAGCUUUCGAUACUGGCAGGCUUGAGUUCCGGAGAGGAUGGUGGAAUUCCCAGUGUAGAGGUGAAAUUCGUAGAUAUUGGGAAGAACACCGGUGGCGAAGGCGGCCAUCUGGACGGACACUGACGCUGAGGCGCGAAAGCGUGGGGAGCAAACA